AAUAAUGCGGGUUGUAGUUGAUGAACGUAUAGCCGCGCGCCUGAUCGAUGGUGUGGAAGAGCGGGUUCCAGUUGAACAGCACCAACAUCUUGUGCGGCAGGGUAUUGGCGAGGAACAUCUUGCCCGAGGCGAUCAUGUUCGCGCGCGA
RNAcentral lists this non-coding RNA (148 nucleotides) under Rhodobacter xanthinilyticus. RNAcentral's name for it is "Rhodobacter sp. LPB0142 Ruegeria cis2 sRNA". It matches the Rfam family "Ruegeria cis2 sRNA". From Rfam's summary of the family: Cis-encoded. Targets ABC transporter. Lineage: Bacteria; Pseudomonadati; Pseudomonadota; Alphaproteobacteria; Rhodobacterales. The record is from Rfam by way of RNAcentral.